Molecule: ribosomal RNA, 487 nt
Filed under: uncultured bacterium
Lineage: Bacteria
Description: bacterial SSU rRNA
Rfam family: Bacterial small subunit ribosomal RNA
Source: RNAcentral
CCUACGGGAGGCAGCAGUGGGGAAUCUUGCGCAAUGGGCGAAAGCCUGACGCAGCCAUGCCGCGUGUAUGAUGAAGGUCUUAGGAUUGUAAAAUACUUUCACCGGUGAAGAUAAUGACUGUAGCCGGAGAAGAAGCCCCGGCUAACUUCGUGCCAGCAGCCGCGGUAAUACGAAGGGGGCUAGCGUUGCUCGGAAUUACUGGGCGUAAAGGGAGCGUAGGCGGACAUUUAAGUCAGAGGUGAAAUCCCGGAGCUUAACUUCGGAACUGCCUUUGAUACUGGGUGUCUUGAGUGUGAGAGAGGUAUGUGGAACUCCGAGUGUAGAGGUGAAAUUCGUAGAUAUUCGGAAGAACACCAGUGGCGAAGGCGACAUACUGGCUCAUUACUGACGCUGAGGCUCGAAAGCGUGGGGAGCAAACAGGUAUUAGACUACCCUGGUAGUCCACGCCGUAAACGAUGUAUUGNUAGUUGUCGGAGCUGUCUCUCGU